RNAcentral lists this unclassified non-coding RNA (4075 nucleotides) under Cimex lectularius (bed bug). RNAcentral describes it as "potassium voltage-gated channel subfamily H member 2, transcript variant X3". Lineage: Eukaryota; Metazoa; Arthropoda; Insecta; Hemiptera; Cimicidae. The record is from RNAcentral.
AGUGACUGUCGUGAGCUGGUUUGAGACGAGCGAGGCGGUCAUGUGAUACCAGGGCAUAAAACAAUUCCUCGAGCCUCUCCCUCCUCUCUCAGUGUCGUGAGCGAGUGUGAGUGUGUGAAAGUGAGUGAGUGUGUGUGCAAAAAUGCCAGUGAGGAGGGGCCAUGUCGCCCCGAGGACAACUAUCAUCGAAACUAUCAUCAGGAAAUUUGAUACGCACAAUCGCAGUUUCGUUGUAGCCAACGCGCAGCAGGAUUCGUGUCACAUCAUCUACUGUUCUGACGGUUUCUGCAGAUUGUCCGGCUACAGCCGGGCCGAGGUCAUGCAGCGACCGGCAGUCUGCGACUUCCUCCAUGGUCCCCUCACAUCUCAACAGGCCGUUUCCGUCGUUAAGGAAGCCCUCGCUGCGGGGACGGAGAAGCACUUCGAAAUACUUUAUUACAGGAAGGACGGAACCAAGUUUUUAUGCAGUGAAGUCAUAGCUCCCGUCAAAAGCGAAGUGGACGACAUAUGCCUUUACAUUAUCAACUUCGAGGACCUGACCUCACCCUCGAGCCCUCUAGAUGAUACUACGCAUAACCACAGACUCAGUAAAUUUGACCGAGCGAGACAGUCGUUCAGACAGUCGCUGCGGAUGGGACCACUGAGGCGGCCAAGGACCGGAGGAGGGUACCUUAGUCCACCUCCGACAACUACCGAAGAAUCUGAGUCUAAUAUUACUCCAAGCCCCUCACAACAAGGAAGACUGAGUGCCGAGCAAACAACGACAAUUGAAACUGAUAGACUGAGCCAGGGAGGCAACCGAAUCAGUGCCUCAUUCCCAAGCGCCCCUAUUGCCUCACCCGAACAGGUUUCACAACAACUCUGGGAUACAGGAGAAGUGCCUCAUGCCAGUUCUCUGGAUGGGAUCUCUGGACGAAGGGCGGUCUCGAGAUCCCCAGAGCCCCCAAGGCCCCCCGCAAGAAGCGCGACUUGCUCCGUCCUGCCGAGUUCGAAAACGCAAGAAGACAUUCCAACCAGACCCAGACCGCAUACACUCGAUAACUUUUCCGAAGCAACGAGAAAUCAUGUAGCCAAGUGUUUUCCAAUAACUAGCUCCGAGUCGGAUCUUCAAAGAUACAGGACAUCCGCUCUUUGGGACCCAACGGCAUCGCUAAGCAACCUAGCGUCGGAAAGCAUAAAACACAAGUAUUCGAUACAAGACAAUGGCUCGGCGAAGUUUUUCCAAGGGGCGCUCCACACGCCGAACAUGGGAGAAAAAGUUGCCCAGGUUCUUUCACUUGGUGCUGAUGUCCUCCCAGAAUACAAACUCCAGUCACCAAGGAUACACAAGUGGACUGUACUUCACUAUAGUCCAUUCAAAGCUGUCUGGGACUGGAUUAUUCUUUUACUUGUCAUGUACACAGCAAUAUUUACACCUUACACGGCAGCCUUCCUUCUUAACGAGCCUGACUAUACAACUUCAAGAAAAACAAAAAAGUAUGGAGAUGACCCCCUCGUUAUAGUAGAUCUCAUCGUGGACGUGACUUUUAUAGUAGAUAUUCUUAUAAACUUUAGGACAACUUAUGUAAAUAAAAAUGAUGAAGUUGUCUCACAUCCAGGAAAAAUAGCAGUUCACUAUUUAAGAGGAUGGUUCCUUAUUGAUUUAGUAGCUGCUAUUCCAUUUGACCUUCUAUUGUAUGGAUCGGACACAGAUGAGUUGGGCUUGGAUGCCGAUGAGACAACUACUUUAAUGGGCCUAUUGAAAACAGCAAGACUGUUAAGAUUAGUAAGAGUGGCUAGAAAAAUAGAUAGGUAUUCAGAAUAUGGAGCCGCUGUACUUUUGUUACUUAUGGCUACAUUCGCACUUAUUGCUCACUGGCUUGCCUGCAUUUGGUAUUUUAUUGGAAAUGCUGAAAGACCACAUUUAGAAAGUAAAGUUGGUUGGUUAGAUGCAUUGGCUAAUGAUACGCAUCAGUUUUAUCAUAACAAUACGGGAGGGCCUUCUAUAAAAUCGAGAUACAUCACAGCUCUCUAUUUUACAUUCAGCUCUCUAACGUCGGUUGGGUUUGGUAAUGUAGCGCCGAACACAGAUGCUGAAAAAAUAUUCACAAUUUGUGUUAUGCUGGUUGGAUCUUUGAUGUAUGCCAGUAUCUUCGGUAAUGUAUCAGCGAUUAUUCAAAGACUGUAUUCUGGCACAGCUCGAUAUCAUACACAGAUGUUGAGGGUGAGGGAAUUCAUUCGAUUUCAUCAAAUACCUAAUCCACUGAGACAGCGAUUAGAGGAGUACUUUCAGCAUGCAUGGACUUACACUAAUGGAAUAGAUAUGAACAGUGUGCUGAAAGGAUUUCCAGAGUGCCUUCAAGCUGACAUUUGUUUACACUUAAACAGAAACUUAUUGGAAUCGUGUACGGCAUUUGACGGCGCUUCUCCAGGUUGCUUGAGGGCUUUAUCGCUUAAAUUCAAAACAACUCAUGCUCCACCAGGAGAUACAUUAGUACACAAAGGAGAUGUGUUAACAUCUUUGUAUUUUAUUUCAAGAGGAUCAAUUGAGAUCCUGCGAGACGAAAUAGUAAUGGCUAUUUUAAGUAAAGAUGAUAUUUUUGGAGAGAAUCCAUGUGGACAUACUACUAUAGGCAAAUCAAAGUGUAACGUUAGAGCUCUCACAUAUUGUGAUCUCCACAAAAUCCAUCGGGAUGAUUUGUUGGAUGUUUUAGAACUCUAUCCAGAGUUUUACCAUACUUUCACAUCAAAUUUGGAGAUCACAUUUUAUUUGAGAGAUGAAGAGCAAGCUGGUGUGGAUCCUUGGGCUAGCCGGCAAACAAGAAAAGUAACAUCAAGGACAAAUUCUCAAGAUCUUGGUACGGGAGAAGUUGGCGGUGGUGGUAAUUUUGACAUGGAUUUUAGAAGAAAUUACUACAGGCCUUCUUUAAGAACCAGUGUCGAGAGAGGUCCUUCUAUGGAAGAAAAUGGAGAUUUACAUGAGAAGUGCCUUGGUCAUGGUAUUCUAGAGUUCUCGACAGAAAAGGCAGGACAAGAUGUCACGCCUUUGAAUUUACAAUUUAAUGAAAAUGGUCAUCGCUCAAAUACCAUCAGCUCAAUUACUGGCAUGUUCAGCCAACUGAAGCGCAGCCUCACAGAUCUGCGCUUGCAUGGCCUCAACAGUAAACAACCACCGAAAGAAGACUCUUCUAACGGGCGAUCAGCAGAUACAAGAAUGAAACAUUCGGCAAGCUCACAAAAUGUGAGACGUCAAGAUAUCAGGGUUGCUUCGGCUACUACUUCAGACUCUUCAAGAGAAACACAACCUCUUCUUGACCACCAAGCUCCAAUUUCAGAAGGAUUACCUACAGGGACUGAAACUCUGGAUGAGUGCCAUCUGAGCAGUACCUCACAUUAUACAACACCUGGUUCAGCCAGUCCCUUACAUUCCAAUGCCCUCCUCAAAGCCCAUCAACAAGGGCCUACUUCUGUGAUAACAUACCCCUCAACCCACAUUGAACAUAAAUGUUCGCACUGUGGGAUUUCAAAGGCUCGUGUGGAUAGUGAUAUUCAUUUUAGGAUAGAUAAGAUAAGCAGACAAUUAGAUGCACUAGAAAAUUCAGUUUCAAGUGAUGUUAGGCUCAUUCUCUCCAUUCUGAGACAUCAGGGAAGUGGAAAAAGUGGAGAACCACUGAUAGAACAAAAAGAGCAGCAGCCUUGGACCGAGUCCAAACCGCGACCUUCACCUGUAAGACGAAGUUCAAGUGUUCCCCAGAAUGAUUCAGUACCACAAGCUCAAACAAGAAACCAAGACAUUGCUCGACUACCCUAUCCGACACUACAACCUGGUAUCAUUGUACCUCGAAGAAGUCAGUCUCAGCCUGUGGACUUAUCUCAUUGAUGGUAGCAACGAUACUUGGAGAGGAUUAAGUGAUCUUGGAAGAAGGAGGCAGUUAUUACCAACUCGUUGUGUCACAAGCAGUGAAGAAGUUGAUCCUCCACCUCUACAAGCACCCAUUGCAAGACUUGAUUCCCUCCAAGAAAUGGAGUCUGCAUUAGUAUCUUCUCACUCCAGUUUGUCUGACAACCAACCUGAUUCAAAGUCAUCACAAGUAUA